UCCGGUUUGUCACCGGCAGUCUCAUUAGAGUGCCCAACUGAAUGUAGCAACUAAUGACAAGGGUUGCGCUCGUUGCGGGACUUAACCCAACAUCUCACGACACGAGCUGACGACAGCCAUGCAGCACCUGUGUUCCAGUUCCCUUUCGGGCACACCCGGCUUUCACCAGGCUUCCGGACAUGUCAAGGGUAGGUAAGGUUUUUCGCGUUGCAUCGAAUUAAUCCACAUAAUCCACCGCUUGUGCGGGUCCCCGUCAAUUCCUUUGAGUUUUAAUCUUGCGACCGUACUCCCCAGGCGGAAUGCUUAAUGCGUUAGCUGCGCCACCGAAGAGCAGGCUCCCCGACGGCUAGCAUCCAUCGUUUACGGCGUGGACUAC
This 376-nucleotide unclassified non-coding RNA is filed under the name uncultured Pseudomonadota bacterium. Its description in RNAcentral is "uncultured proteobacterium contains 16S-23S intergenic spacer region". Lineage: Bacteria; Pseudomonadati; Pseudomonadota. The record is from RNAcentral.